Molecule: ribosomal RNA, 395 nt
Filed under: Mantella baroni
Lineage: Eukaryota; Metazoa; Chordata; Amphibia; Anura; Mantellidae
Description: partial 16S ribosomal RNA
Rfam family: Bacterial large subunit ribosomal RNA
Source: RNAcentral
GAAACUGAUCUCUCCGUGAAGAAGCGGAGAUUUUUUUAUAAGACGAGAAGACCCCAUGGAGCUUUAAACCCAAUUACACUCCUAUUUUUUAUUAACCUCUUAGACUAUGGAUAUUUGUAUAUUUGGUUUUAGGUUGGGGUGACCACGGAGCAUAACUUAGCCUCCAUGAUGAACGGGAUUUUACCCCUUAUCCAAGAACUACACCUCUAAGAACUAGUAUUCUAACAUAAAAUGAUCCGAUAAUCGAUCAACGAACCAAGUUACCCUGGGGAUAACAGCGCAAUCCACUUCAAGAGCUCCUAUCGACAAGUGGGUUUACGACCUCGAUGUUGGAUCAGGGUAUCCUAGUGGUGCAGCAAUUACUAAAGGUUCGUUUGUUCAACGAUUAAAACCCU